Molecule: ribosomal RNA, 497 nt
Filed under: uncultured bacterium
Lineage: Bacteria
Description: partial 16S ribosomal RNA
Rfam family: Bacterial small subunit ribosomal RNA
Source: RNAcentral
GAUGAACGCUGGCGGCGUGCCUAAUACAUGCAAGUCGAGCGAACGGACGAGAAGCUUGCUUCUCUGAUGUUAGCGGCGGACGGGUGAGUAACACGUGGAUAACCUACCUAUAAGGCUGGGAUAACUUCGGGAAACCGGAGCUAAUACCGGAUAAUAUUUUGAACCGCAUGGUCCAAAAGUGAAAGACGGUCUUGCUGUCACUUAUAGAUGGAUCCGCGCUGCAUUAGCUAGUUGGUAAGGUAACGGCUUACCAAGGCAACGAUGCAUAGCCGACCUGAGAGGGUGAUCGGCCACACUGGAACUGAGACACGGUCCAGACUCCUACGGGAGGCAGCAGUAGGGAAUCUUCCGCAAUGGGCGAAAGCCUGACGGAGCAACGCCGCGUGAGUGAUGAAGGUCUUCGGAUCGUAAAACUCUGUUAUUAGGGAAGAACAUAUGUGUAAGUAACUGUGCACAUCUUGACGGUACCUAAUCAGAAAGCCACGGCUAACUACGUG